AUCAGAAUGUCACGGUGAAUACGUUCCCGGGCCUUGUACACACCGCCCGUCACACCAUGGGAGUGGGCUGCAAAAGAAGUGGGUAGUUUAACCUUUCGAGGAGGACGCUCACCACUUUGUGGUUCAUGACUGGGGUGAAGUCGUAACAAGGUAGCCCUAGGGGAACCUGGGGCUGGAUCACCUCCUUA
RNAcentral lists this ribosomal RNA (188 nucleotides) under Vibrio sp. OPT20. Its description in RNAcentral is "partial 16S ribosomal RNA". It matches the Rfam family "Bacterial small subunit ribosomal RNA", at positions 1348 to 1533 of the family's 1533-position model. The record is from RNAcentral. Lineage: Bacteria; Pseudomonadati; Pseudomonadota; Gammaproteobacteria; Vibrionales; Vibrionaceae.